Molecule: ribosomal RNA, 305 nt
Filed under: uncultured bacterium
Lineage: Bacteria
Description: bacterial SSU rRNA
Rfam family: Bacterial small subunit ribosomal RNA
Source: RNAcentral
UCAGGCCUACGGGAGGCAGCAGUGAGGAAUAUUGGUCAAUGGGAGAAAUCUUGAACCAGCCAAGCCGCGUGAGGGAAGACGGCCCUAUGGGUUGUAAACCUCUUUUGUCGGAGAACAAAACCUGGGACGAGUCCCGGACUGCGUGUAUCCGAAGAAAAAGCAUCGGCUAACUCCGUGCCAGCAGCCGCGGUAAUACGGAGGAUGCGAGCGUUAUCCGGAUUUAUUGGGUUUAAAGGGUGCGUAGGCGGUCCGUUAAGUCAGCGGUAAAAUUGCGGGGCUCAACCCCGUCGAGCCGUUGAAACUGG